AGUCUCGUGGACGAUUAGAUAAGUCGCUUUGGUUCUCAGUCAAGGAGAAGCGGGUGCAACUCCCGUCGAGACUUC
This 75-nucleotide transfer RNA is filed under the name Acaryochloris marina MBIC10699. RNAcentral's name for it is "tRNA-Glu". The record is from RNAcentral. Lineage: Bacteria; Bacillati; Cyanobacteriota; Cyanophyceae; Acaryochloridales; Acaryochloridaceae.